Molecule: long non-coding RNA, 998 nt
Organism: Oryzias melastigma (Indian medaka)
Lineage: Eukaryota; Metazoa; Chordata; Actinopteri; Beloniformes; Adrianichthyidae
Exons: 3
Source: RefSeq, a predicted model, not a curated record
CUGUGUCUUUCAGUUUGGGUUUUAUAAAACUAUCAUAAAAAAGGUUCAUGUGAAAGUGAAAGACGACGGUUCAAAGACCGUUUUCAUCCAGAACAUCUCAGCCAGCGAGGCCAGAGAGCUCAGGGAGACUCUGACAAACAUCGGUUCCCUAAAGAACUUCCUGCCUCUGCUCAACAAUUACUCCAGCCGCAGAACACACCCUCUGGUUUUUAGAAGUCAUAUUUCGUCUGUCUCCUCCUGAAGGUUUGGCUGGAGUUUAAAUCUGUUGGCGGCGCCGACCGUCUGGGCGUUUGGUUCAGCCUCCUAAAUCGUCGUCCGGUUUACAGCAUCUACAGGGUCAAGAUCCCACAGAGCAGCAGCACACCGUCGCCAUCAGAACUGGCCGCUGAAGCUUUCCCUGGACCGGUCAUCCCAAACGGGAGCAGAGAUGUCCCUUGUGGCAGUACGCCGCCCUUUUCGGUCACCAUGACAACCAGUCCCUUUAUUUUUCCCAACCCAGCCUUGGUUUGUAACUUUGCCAUUGAGAACUAGAACCCUCCCAUGUUAAGAACUGUAAACCAACCUCUCUUGUCAAGACCAUUUUGGAGAAGUGAACAUGUAGCAGGUCUCCCAUGUUUAUUCAGAGUUUUCCAGGAUGAACCUUGAAAAUCUCUGCCUGUAAACUUUGUAAAUGGCUAACAAUGACUAUUAAUGGCUACACCUGUAGAUGUCUACAUUAUAAUGUCACACCCAUCCCUAAUUCACACACACAUUUACAAAGUCUUAAAUAAUCUUCGAAUCACGUGUUCAAUUUGAGUUUAAAAAAUAUAAUCUCAACCUUAGACUCUACAAGAAAUGUGCCCAAGGUCCUUAAAGGGGCCGUCCCAUGAUUUAAUUAAGCCUUCCAGAGUGAACUAUAUCCAUAUAUAUAUGAUCAUUUAUUACCUUUGGAACACUAAAAAGCAAAUUAUUUAUGAAACAGGCUCCACCUGCUGCGUGUGGCUGCCACUCAUUUCAUU